This 458-nucleotide ribosomal RNA is filed under the name uncultured bacterium. Its description in RNAcentral is "partial 16S ribosomal RNA". It matches the Rfam family "Bacterial small subunit ribosomal RNA", at positions 339 to 795 of the family's 1533-position model. The record is from RNAcentral.
CUACGGGCGGCAGCAGUAGGGAAUAUUGGGCAAUGGGCGCAAGCCUGACCCAGCCAUGCCGCGUGCAGGAAGAAGGCGUUCUGCGUUGUAAACUGCUUUUAUAUAGGAAGAAACGGCCCUUGCGAGGGACAUUGACGGUACUAUAUGAAUAAGCACCGGCUAACUCCGUGCCAGCAGCCGCGGUAAUACGGAGGGUGCAAGCGUUGUCCGGAUUUAUUGGGUUUAAAGGGUGCGCAGGUGGUUUAUUAAGUCAGUGGUGAAAGACGGUCGCUCAACGAUUGCAGUGCCAUUGAUACUGGUAGACUUGAGUAAAGUAGAGGUGGGCGGAAUUGAUAGUGUAGCGGUGAAAUGCAUAGAUAUUAUCAAGAACUCCGAUUGCGAAGGCAGCUCACUUGGCUUUUACUGACACUCAUGCACGAAAGUGUGGGUAUCAAACAGGAUUAGAUACCCCUGUAGUC